GAUGAAGAACGCAGCGAAAUGCGACAAGUAAUGUGAAUUGCAGAAUUCCGUGAAUCAUCGAAUCUUUGAACGCACAUUGCGCCCUCUGGUAUUCUGGAGGGCAUGCCUGUCCGAGCGUCAUUUCAACCCUCAAGCUCUGCUUGGUGUUGGGCCCUGCCCGCUGCGGCCGGCCCUAAAGACAGUGGCGGUGCCGCCUGGCCCUGAGCGUAGUACAUCUCUCGCUCCAGUGCCCGGUGGUAGCCUGCCAGAACCCCAACUCUCGUGGUUGACCUCGGAUCAGGUAGGGAUACCCGCUGAACUUAAGCAUAUCAAUAAGCGGAGGA
This 323-nucleotide unclassified non-coding RNA is filed under the name soil metagenome. RNAcentral describes it as "partial contains 5.8S ribosomal RNA, internal transcribed spacer 2, and large subunit ribosomal RNA". The stretch from base 1 to 120 matches the Rfam family "5.8S ribosomal RNA", at positions 35 to 154 of the family's 154-position model. The record is from RNAcentral.